UGGAACGAAUUCACUUUUAAACUUGUGCCUAAGGAUGGGGCUGCGGCGGAUUAGGUUGUUGGCGGGGUAAUAGCCCACCAAGCCUUUGAUCCGUAGGGGCUCUUAGCGGAGAAGCCCCGAGAGGGAAUCUGAGACACUAUUCCCAGCCCUACGGGGUGCAGCAGUUAGGAAUAAUCUGCAAUGCGCGAAAGCGUGACAGUUUGAGUCAGAGUGCUCCUCAUUGAGGAGCUUUUGCUAAAUGUAAAAAGUUUGGCGAAUAAGGACUGGGCAAGACGAGUGCCAGCCGCCGCGGUAAUACUCGCGGUCCAGGUCGCAACCAUAAUUAUUGGGUCUAAAACAUCCGUAGCUUGUCGAGUAAGUUUCUUGUGAAAUCUCACCUCUUAAAGGUGGGGCGAGCGAGAAAUACUGUUCGGCUAGAGACCGGAAGACGGAAGAAGUACGUUUAAAGUAACGGUAAAAUGUGUUGAUCUUAAACGGACUCACAAUAGCGAAGGCAUCUUUCGAGUACGGUUCUGACAGUCAGGGAUGAAGGCUAGGGGCGCAAAACAGAUUAGAUACCUGUGUAGUCCUAGCAGUAAACGCUGCACACUAAACAUCGGUACCUCUUCGAGAGGCAUCGGUGCUGUAGGGAAGCCGUAGAGUGUGCUACCUGGGAAGUAUAGCCGCAAGGCCGAAACUUAAAGGAAUAGGCGGGGAGACACUACAAUGGGUGACGCGUGCGGUUCAAUUGGAUUAUACACCGAGAAUCUCACCAGGAGCGACAGCAGAAUGAAGGUCAGUCUAAAGGGCUUACCUGACACGCUGAGAGGAGUUGCAUGGCUGUGUUAAGUCUGUGCCGUGAGGUGACCUGUUAAAUCAGGUAACAGACAGGACCCACAUGUAUAUUUACUACGUGUAAAAUAUACAGAUUGCCUUGGAAACGAGGAUGAAAGUGUGGGCUAUCGCAGGUCAGUACAGCCCGAAUCCCCUGGGCAACACGCGCGCGGCAAUGGUGGAUACAAGGAGAUGCGACUCCGAAAGGAGAAGCUAAUCUCAUAAAGUCCGCCCUAGUUCAGAUUGAGGUUUGUAACUCAGCCUCAUGACGCUGGAAUCCAUAGUAAUCGUUUGUUAUCAGCGAACGGUGAAUACGUCACGGUCUCUUGCACUCACUGCCCGUCAAACCAACCAAGUUAUGUUAUGAUGAAACUUUUCGAAGGAGAGUCAAGAUAUAGCAAGGUAGGUUAAGUCGACACAAGGU
This 1237-nucleotide ribosomal RNA is filed under the name metagenome. RNAcentral's name for it is "bacterial SSU rRNA". It matches the Rfam family "Archaeal small subunit ribosomal RNA", at positions 171 to 1444 of the family's 1478-position model. The record is from RNAcentral.